GAUUCUGGCUCAGGAUAAACGCUGGCGGCGUGCUUAACACAUGCAAGUCGAACGGAGUGGUUCUCCCGAGGAUUGACGGUGCUUGCACCUGAUUGACUCAUUGAAUCACUUAGUGGCGGACGGGUGAGUAACGCGUGGGUAACCUGCCCUAGUACUGGGGGAUAGCAAGUUGGAAACGACUGAUAAUACCGCAUAAGCGCACAGUAUCGCAUGGUACGGUGUGAAAAACUCCGGUGGUAUAGGAUGGACCCGCGUCUGAUUAGCUAGUUGGUGAGGUAACGGCCCACCAAGGCGACGAUCAGUAGCCGGCCUGAGAGGGUGUACGGCCACAUUGGGACUGAGACACGGCCCAAACUCCUACGGGAGGCAGCAGUGGGGAAUAUUGGACAAUGGGGGAAACCCUGAUCCAAGCGACGCCGCGUGAACGAUGAAGUAUCUCGGUAUGUAAAGUUCUAUCAGCAGGGAAGAUAAUGACGGUACCUGACUAAGAAGCACCGGCUAAAUACGUGCCAGCCGCCGC
RNAcentral lists this ribosomal RNA (520 nucleotides) under uncultured bacterium. Its description in RNAcentral is "bacterial SSU rRNA". It matches the Rfam family "Bacterial small subunit ribosomal RNA", at positions 15 to 518 of the family's 1533-position model. The record is from RNAcentral.